CAAAGGUUUGGUCCUGGCCUUCCUAUUAGUUAUUAACAGAAUUACACAUGCAAGCCUCCACAUCCCGGUGAAGAUGCCCUCUAAAUCUAUUUAAACGACUAAAAGGAGCGGGCAUCAGGCACACUAAAUAAGUAGCCCAUAACGCCUUGCUCAACCACACCCCCACGGGAUACAGCAGUGAUAAAAAUUAAGCCAUGAACGAAAGUUUGACUAAGCCAUGUUAAUAUUAAGAGUUGGUAAAUUUCGUGCCAGCCACCGCGGUCAUACGAUUAACCCAAAUUAAUAGGCUCACGGCGUAAAACGUGCUAAGGACUACAAAACACUAAAGUUAAAAUUUAACCAGGCCGUAAAAAGCUACUGUUAAUAUAAAAUAUACCACGAAAGUGACUUUAUCAUCUCCAACAACACGAUAGCUGGGACCCAAACUGGGAUUAGAUACCCCACUAUGCCCAGCCCUAAACACAAACAAUUUACACAACAAAAU
This 484-nucleotide ribosomal RNA is filed under the name Martes martes (European pine marten). RNAcentral describes it as "partial 12S ribosomal RNA". Lineage: Eukaryota; Metazoa; Chordata; Mammalia; Carnivora; Mustelidae. The record is from RNAcentral.